Molecule: long non-coding RNA, 669 nt
Organism: Xenia sp. Carnegie-2017
Lineage: Eukaryota; Metazoa; Cnidaria; Anthozoa; Malacalcyonacea; Xeniidae
Exons: 2
Source: RefSeq, a predicted model, not a curated record
GUGGUGAAUCCUGUGGUGAAUGUAAGGAUGAAUGUCAGGAUGAGUGUCAGGAUGAAUCCUGUGGUACCUUCACAGUAGUGGAUUUUAGUUGAUGCUAUGUUUUGGCGCAAAAGCCACAUUAAGGAAAGGUUUUAUGAGUAAUAUUGUGGUUUUUCGAUGUAAAUUGCAAAGCUCGCGACAGAAGUGAUUACGAUGCGCUACAAUCAUGGCCAUUUCAAAAGAAGAUCACAAUGAUGUUAAUGGAUCAAGGAAAUGGUGAUCACAUAAUUGAUGCUUUUCAUUCAGAUCCUCAAAGUUCCUCAUUUCAACGACCAAAGUCUGAUAUGAAUAUCGCUUCUGGAUCACCACUCUUCAUGCCAUUGGAAAGUUUAAAUAAUCGUCAGUAUAUCAAAGAUGAUACAUUGUUUAUAAAAAUGAUCGUCGACUGAGUUUACAGCUACUGGAAAUAAUAUCUCAUAGAAAAAUACUUUUCAAGAGGAAGCUGAUAUUUCAUGAAAAAUGCUUUUCAAGUGAAAGUUCGAAGUAUGAGAUUAGAUUCAGACUUUCUUCCAAAAAGUUCAAAAGACCAAUGCAAUCACGUUCGUUUGUUUUUUGUUUGUUGAACAACAAAUGCUUAGUUUUCCUUCUUUAAUUUUCUUUAAUUUUUGAAAGUAUAAACUCGUUUAAAGA